GAUCAUGGCUCAGGAUGAACGCUAGCUACAGGCUUAACACAUGCAAGUCGAGGGGCAGCAGGACGAUAGCUUGCUAUGUUGCUGGCGACCGGCGCACGGGUGAGUAACGCGUAUCCAACCUUCCCCUUAGUAGGGCAUAGCCCGGUGAAAAUCGGAUUAAUACCCUAUGUUGUGUCAUGAGGACAUCUGAAUAACACUAAAGAUUUAUCGCUAAGGGAUGGGGAUGCGUCCGAUUAGGUAGUCGGCGGGGUAACGGCCCACCGAGCCCUCGAUCGGUAGGGUUCUGAGAGGAAGGUCCCCCACACUGGUACUGAGACACGGACCAGACUCCUACGGGAGGCAGCAGUGAGGAAUAUUGGUCAAUGGGCGCGAGCCUGAACCAGCCAAGUAAGCGUGCAGGAUGACGGCCCUAUGGGUUGUAAACUGCUUUUAUACGGGGAUAAAGUGAGGGACGUGUCCCUUAUUGUAGGUACCGUAUGAAUAAGGACCGGCUAAUUCCGUGCCAGCCGCAGC
Molecule: ribosomal RNA, 513 nt
Filed under: uncultured bacterium
Lineage: Bacteria
Description: bacterial SSU rRNA
Rfam family: Bacterial small subunit ribosomal RNA
Source: RNAcentral